Long non-coding RNA from Amphimedon queenslandica, 642 nucleotides. RefSeq lists it as uncharacterized. The record is from RefSeq and is a predicted model, not a curated record. The transcript is spliced from 2 exons. NCBI's taxonomy places the organism in Eukaryota, Metazoa, Porifera, Demospongiae, Haplosclerida, Niphatidae.
UUUUUUCAUUUUGUGUAUGCACUGUGUUAAUUCGAUCUGAGACACCUUAGCAAAUAUCUACGGCCAUUAGUUUUCUGAGAAAAGCGUGUGUGGCCAUUGAAAGGAAAAUGGUGACAAUGACUUAAGACUAUAGUAGGGCCACACUGACGUUGUCAACAUGCUACUGACAGCGGCCUUUUUUGCAUGAUCCUUUUUACUCAGGUAUUUUGAUGUGCAUGUAUGAAACAACUAUCUAGAGUGCACGUGUAGGAAAGUAGAAGAGAAAUCUAAGCACUUUGGCACUUAGAGAGCAUUACUGCUGGUCUGCUGCCCACAUUUGAUGACCGCAUAGGCAUAUGAAAUGAAACGCAAGAAGGCAUUGGAUGAGAUAAAAGGAUAUGAUGAGACUAAAAGGAUAUGAUGAGAUGAAAAGUAUACGAUGAGACUAAAAUGAUACAAUGAGACUAAAAGGAUACGAAAAGAUGAGUGUAGCUUGGACCUUCAUGAUUGUUUUUGGCCACAUACAGUACACUUAUGGAAAUGAAGAAAAGAAUUGUACGAGCUAACUUGUAGCCAUAAUGAGCCAUAUCUUUUAUUUUACUUUGUUUAAGCCUACAAUUUGUAUAUGUACCUUGAAAAGAGCAAUAGUUUUAUACUGUGGAA